This 258-nucleotide ribosomal RNA is filed under the name uncultured bacterium. Its description in RNAcentral is "partial 16S ribosomal RNA". It matches the Rfam family "Bacterial small subunit ribosomal RNA", at positions 96 to 353 of the family's 1533-position model. The record is from RNAcentral.
CGGCGGACGGGUGAGUAACGCGUGGGCAACCUGCCUCACACAGGGGAUAACAGUUAGAAAUGACUGCUAAUACCGCAUAAGACCACGAAACCGCAUGGUUUUGAGGUAAAAACUCCGGUGGUGUGAGAUGGGCCCGCGUCUGAUUAGGUAGUUGGUGCGGUAACGGCGCACCAAGCCGACGAUCAGUAGCCGACCUGAGAGGGUAACCGGCCACAUUGGGACUGAGACACGGCCCAAACUCCUACGGGAGGCAGCAUG